RNAcentral lists this ribosomal RNA (401 nucleotides) under uncultured bacterium. Its description in RNAcentral is "bacterial SSU rRNA". It matches the Rfam family "Bacterial small subunit ribosomal RNA", at positions 11 to 414 of the family's 1533-position model. The record is from RNAcentral.
GUUUGAUCCUGGCUCAGAUUGAACGCUGGCGGCAUGCUUUACACAUGCAAGUCGAACGGCAGCACGGGGGCAACCCUGGUGGCGAGUGGCGAACGGGUGAGUAAUGUAUCGGAACAUGUCCGGAAGUGGGGGAUAACGUAGCGAAAGUUACGCUAAUACCGCAUAUGCCCUGAGGGGGAAAGGAGGGGAUCGCAAGACCUUUCGCUUUCGGAGUGGCCGAUAUCAGAUUAGCUAGUUGGUGAGGUAAAGGCUCACCAAGGCGACGAUCUGUAGCUGGUCUGAGAGGACGACCAGCCACACUGGGACUGAGACACGGCCCAGACUCCUACGGGAGGCAGCAGUGGGGAAUUUUGGACAAUGGGGGCAACCCUGAUCCAGCCAUGCCGCGUGAGUGAAGAAGG